This 253-nucleotide ribosomal RNA is filed under the name uncultured bacterium. Its description in RNAcentral is "partial 16S ribosomal RNA". It matches the Rfam family "Bacterial small subunit ribosomal RNA", at positions 524 to 776 of the family's 1533-position model. The record is from RNAcentral.
UACGUAGGGUGCAAGCGUUAAUCGGAAUUACUGGGCGUAAAGCGUGCGCAGGCGGUUCUAUAAGACAGAUGUGAAAUCCCCGGGCUCAACCUGGGAAUUGCAUUCGAGACUGCAAGGCUAGGGUGCGGAAGAGGGAAGCGGAAUUUCCGGUGUAGCGGUGAAAUGCGUAGAUAUCGGAAGGAACAUCAGUGGCGAAAGCGGCUUCCUGGUCCAGCACCGACGUUCAGGCACGAAAGCGUGGGGAGCAAACAGG